UGCCAGCCGCCGCGGUAACACGGGGGGCGCAAGCGUUAUUCGGAAUUAUUGGGCGUAAAGGGCGCGUAGGUGGCAUGCCAAGUUAGAGGUGAAAUCCCGGAGCUUAACUCCGGAACUGCCUUUAAAACUGGUAAGCUAGAGGAUGUGAGAGGUGAGUGGAAUUCCGAGUGUAGAGGUGAAAUUCGUAGAUAUUCGGAAGAACACCAGCGGCGAAGGCGGCUAACUGGCUCGGUACUGACGCUGAGAUGCGAAAGCGUGGGGAGCAAACAGGAUUAGAUA
This 279-nucleotide ribosomal RNA is filed under the name uncultured bacterium. RNAcentral's name for it is "partial 16S ribosomal RNA". It matches the Rfam family "Bacterial small subunit ribosomal RNA", at positions 506 to 784 of the family's 1533-position model. The record is from RNAcentral.